Molecule: RNase P RNA, 328 nt
Filed under: Campylobacter sp. TTU_617
Lineage: Bacteria; Pseudomonadati; Campylobacterota; Epsilonproteobacteria; Campylobacterales; Campylobacteraceae
Also listed under: 2 other names
Description: RNase P RNA component class A
Rfam family: Bacterial RNase P class A
About the family: Ribonuclease P (RNase P) is a ubiquitous endoribonuclease, found in archaea, bacteria and eukarya as well as chloroplasts and mitochondria. Its best characterised activity is the generation of mature 5'-ends of tRNAs by cleaving the 5'-leader elements of precursor-tRNAs. Cellular RNase Ps are ribonucleoproteins.
Source: RNAcentral
AAAGCAUAGCAAAUGCUCGCUUCAUUAUUAUUUUAAUGAAGAGGAAAGUCCGAGCUGCAAAAGACAAGAAUUCCAUCUAACAGAUGGCUAGGGCAACCUAAGGGAAAGUGCAACAGAAAACAAACUACCACUAAGUGGAAAAGGUGAAAAGGUGAGGUAAGAGCUUACCAGCGAUUUUAGUAAUAAUUUCGGCUUUGUAAACCCAAUUCGCAGCAAGAAGGGAUGGUUUAAGUCUUUAGUUGGACCCUUCGCUUGAUUUUGUUUGUAAAAACAAAACUAGAUAAAUGAGCAUUCAAGACAGAACUCGGCUUAUAGCUAUGCUUUAGUA